UCAGGUGAGGCUUCCAGACAGAUCCAUGAUGCUAAGCAUCAUGACAUGUGGAAAUGUGUAUCCAGAAUAUUUGGCCUAGAAGGGUCUGGAUACAUCAAGUGACAGGACAGAUGUUCCCUAGAGUUUUGUUGGUUGGUUGGUUUUGUUUUUUGGUCACAUCUAUAGCAUGCACAAGUUCCCUGGGGCGAGGGAUCAAACCUGCACCACAGCAGUGACAACGCCGUAUCUUUAACCACUAGGCCAUCAGGGAAGGGCUACCUUAGAUUAUUUUUAAUGUCAAUGCUGAACUGGCAAAGGGGACAAUUAAAACCCAUUAAAUAGAAUUGUGCCUUUUGCUUGAUGAUUUUACCUCUUACGUUCUGAUCACUAUUGUCUCUGGAAAGCAGAGAAGGUGUUAUUAUUCCCAUUUCACGGAUGAGGAAAGUGUGGUCCAUCAGGUCACCUGGCUAACAGGACGUGCCUGGUCUGGAGCCAAGUGUUCUCUGUUCCUACUGCCGUCUGUGGGGGCCAAGCAAGGUGACACACUGUUCGUAAGAAACGGGGACAGAUGCCCGCCUCAGAGCACUGGAGAUAGGGCUGCAGUAGGCACAGGUGGUUGUAGAAGCCCCAGGAGGGGGUCUAGAUACAGAGGGAAACCUGGGGGAUGUUGGGAGAACACUGGAAGGUCAAGGAAGCCAUUCGCACAAGGCAGGCUUGCUUGACGCGUGGUGGUGCGAGAGCUGCUUCAGGUCAUCGGGUCAGGGAUGGGGGGAGGCCUGCAUUCAGAUUCAGACUGAGGGCAGGCGUUUGAGGACCGCCCUUCUGCUGAUUUGAAUUUUGAAUGCACACCUUAUCAGAUACUAAGGAGGAGCUCCUGCUCCCAGAAAGGAAGAGGUGGGCCUUUCCAAUCCCCACUCCCCUUGGAGGAUAAAACAAACCCACCGGCUCCUCGGGGCAGAGCCUCCUUGCCUGCCCCUUUGCGUCUCUCACAAGCGUCCUAUCCUACUAAGUCUAUUUCUUGCCUAUCCCUUUGUCUCUCGCUGAAUUCCUUCUGCACGGAGGCUUAAAGAACCUGAGCUUCACUUAGUGAGUCCAGGACAGGGUGAAUGAUUCUAAUUUAAAACGGUGGAUUCAAGGCCCAGUCUGGGUUCUGGCUGGGUUCAGGCCGUUAGUGCUGUCAGCUUCAUUGGUGCAUGUGGUUCCUUUGAUUGCAAUUCCCUCCCAUCACUUAGGUUUGUUUUUGCAAUUCCCUCCUCACUGCCUUUGUGUGGUACAACCCUUCUUUCCAAAUCUGCUCCAAUGCUGCAACCUACAGGAAGCUCUCAUUCCCCCACGGCACCAGCUGGAGCUGACUUCUCUGUCCUAACACUAUCGAGAGCUCUUGCUUUGAGCCCCGUAUCCCAGUCGUGCCAGACUGCUCGUCAGUGUGUUUUCUUUUUAUUUUAUGUUUUGUCUUUUGUGGGCCACACCCGAAGCAUAUGGAGGUUCCCAGGCUAGGGCUCCAAUCAGAGCUACAGCCGCCGGCCUGUGCCACAGCAGCACCAGAUCGGAGCCGUGUCUGCCACCUACAUGACAGCUCAUAGCAACGCCAGAUCCUUAACCCUCUGAGCAAAGCCAGGGAUCAAACCUGCAAAUCUUAUGGUUCCCAGUGAGAUUCGUUUCCGCUGUGCCAUGACGGGAACUCCUCAACGUGCUUUUCCAGUCUGCCCUGAGAUGGCGGAUUCUCUGCAGCGAGGGGCUCUGCCUGUGAGCUGGAGCUGCCUUCUUUGUUACAUCAGAGCUUCCGUAAGUUCUUUUGAGGAUAAGAGAAGGGCACCAGCCCCUCACAAAAUCUUCUCUUCAUUCAGCUCCUGCCACAUGCCAGCGCUGUUGCUAAGGGUUUUAGGUGUGUAAUUUCUAAUUUCUUGAACAGUCCUGCAGGAGACCUAUUGUUCUUCACAUGAAAACCCCCCUAAUUGAUAAGGGGUGUUAAGUGCUGAGCUUAGAGUCUGGUCUCCCCUAAGCCUCAGCCCACCCUGUGUGUAACGCACCCCUGCUGUGCAGCCUUCAUGGCAGGGAUCCCAGGUUUCAGAAAUGAUCUGUCAGUGCAUGAUGAACGAGUGAGUGCAUGUAGACGGCAUGUUACAGCAUCCGUCUUCUCAGUCCUCGGAGAAAGUCAGAGUUUCACGUUGUGCCCGUGCAGUGAGGAGGCUGCCGUGGAGCCCCUUAGCUCACUGGUAAAGACCUGCUUCGGUGCAGCCAUCUAGCUGUGUGCUGUCCAGCGGGGCUGCUGCCCCUGCCAGCUCCCGCUGUGCUGGGGACGGUCCUGCUCGAACCUUCGUGCCUCCAUAGCCUGCGCUCCCUGUCACUCUCAAUGUGUUUGGUUUCGACAGCUGAUCGCAUGGUCACCCAAGUGCCGCGAAUCAAAUUUUGAUUAAAACUGAAUUGUCCCCCAGAAGCAGAGGAGGAGGAAGAAAGAGGAAAAGCUCAUACACAGGUGACAGGUGUUUACAAAGGGCAGGUGCCCACAUAGGUUGACUUGCCGUCUGUCCGCAUUGCAUCAUCUUCUUUAUAAACCUCAGGGUCCUUUCUCAGAGCACAGCUGAAAAAAUUCAGUUCAAAAAUCAACUAUGCAGAGUUCCCGCUGUGGCUCAGUGGAAACGAAUCUGGCUAGCAUCCCUGAGAACACAGGUUCAAACCCUGGCCUCGUUCAGUGGGUUGCCGUGAGCUGUGGUGUAGGUCUCAGACACGGCUCGGAUCCCAAGUUGCUGUGGCUGUGGCGUAGCCUGGCGUCUACAGCUCUGAUUCGACCCCUAGCCUGGGAACCUCCAUGUGCGUCAGGUGCGGCCCUAAAAAG
Molecule: long non-coding RNA, 2815 nt
Filed under: Sus scrofa (pig)
Lineage: Eukaryota; Metazoa; Chordata; Mammalia; Artiodactyla; Suidae
Description: lncRNA (ENSSSCG00035021396.1, ENSSSCG00175021405.1)
Source: RNAcentral